This 477-nucleotide ribosomal RNA is filed under the name Candidatus Brocadia fulgida. Its description in RNAcentral is "bacterial SSU rRNA". It matches the Rfam family "Bacterial small subunit ribosomal RNA", at positions 365 to 832 of the family's 1533-position model. Lineage: Bacteria; Pseudomonadati; Planctomycetota; Candidatus Brocadiia; Candidatus Brocadiales; Candidatus Brocadiaceae. RNAcentral also lists the same sequence under 1 other name. The record is from RNAcentral.
UUCGCAAUGCCCGAAAGGGUGACGAAGCGACGCCGCGUGCGGGAAGAAGGCCUUCGGGUUGUAAACCGCUGUCGGGAGUUAAGAAAUGUAAGGAUGUUAAUAGCAUCUUUGCUUGACUAAGGCUCCGGAGGAAGCCACGGCUGACUCUGUGCCAGCAGCCGCGGUAAUACAGAGGCGGCAAGCGUUGUUCGGAAUUAUUGGGCGUAAAGAGCACGUAGGCGGCUAUGUAAGUCGGUUGUGAAAGCCUUCCGCUCAACGGGAGAACAGCAUCCGAUACUGCAUGGCUUGAGUGCGGGAGGGGAGAGUGGAACUUCUGGUGGAGCGGUGAAAUGCGUAGAUAUCAGAAGGAACGCCGGCGGCGAAAGCGGCUCUCUGGCCCAUAACUGACGCUGAGUGUGCGAAAGCUAGGGGAGCAAACGGGAUUAGAUACCCCGGUAGUCCUAGCCGUAAACGAUGGGCACUAAGUAGAGGGGUUUU